RNAcentral lists this small RNA (621 nucleotides) under Pan troglodytes (chimpanzee). Its description in RNAcentral is "retained intron". The record is from RNAcentral. Lineage: Eukaryota; Metazoa; Chordata; Mammalia; Primates; Hominidae.
UGUCUGGAGAAGAAGGAUUUCUUCCAGAACCAGGACAAGUUCUGGGGCCGGCUGGAGCGUUAUCUGCCCACACAUAGCAUCUGCUCCUUGCCUUUCGUCACGUCCUUCUGCCUGGGCAUGGGUGCACGGAGGGUCUGCUAUGGCCAGGAAGAGGCGGUGGGGCCCUGGUACCACCUGAGCGCCCAGGAGAUCCAGCCCUUGUUUGGAGAACACAGGCUGGGAGGGGAUGGCCGGGGCUGGGUGAGGACGCACUGCUGCCUGGAGGAUGCCUGGCAUGGAGGCAGCUCCCUGCUCGUCCGGGGUGUGAUCCCACCGGAGGUUGGAAAUGUGGCUGUGAGGUGGGUGAGUGACGGAGGACGGUGGGCUCACCAGCUUCUCCCAUCACACGUGGUGGCCAUGGAACUGGACAGAUGGGGCAGUGGAGGCCAGAACAAGGACAGAGGACAGACUCAGAUGGGUUUUUAAAAAUUGUGGUCAAAAAUGCAUUAACAUGAAAUUCACCAUCUUAACCCUGUUGAAGUGAACAGUACAGGAGUGUUAACUCUGCGUACGUUGCUACGUGACAGAUCCCUAGAACUGUGUCAUCUUGUAGGACUGGACUCUCCCCAUUGCACAUUAGCC